RNAcentral lists this ribosomal RNA (496 nucleotides) under uncultured bacterium. RNAcentral's name for it is "partial 16S ribosomal RNA". It matches the Rfam family "Bacterial small subunit ribosomal RNA", at positions 28 to 506 of the family's 1533-position model. The record is from RNAcentral.
GAUGAACGCUGGCGGCGUGCCUAAUACAUGCAAGUCGAGCGAACAGACGAGGAGCUUGCUCCUCUGACGUUAGCGGCGGACGGGUGAGUAACACGUGGAUAACCUACCUAUAAGACUGGGAUAACUUCGGGAAACCGGAGCUAAUACCGGAUAAUAUAUUGAACCGCAUGGUUCAAUAGUGAAAGACGGUUUUGCUGUCACUUAUAGAUGGAUCCGCGCCGCAUUAGCUAGUUGGUAAGGUAACGGCUUACCAAGGCAACGAUGCGUAGCCGACCUGAGAGGGUGAUCGGCCACACUGGAACUGAGACACGGUCCAGCCUCCUACGGGAGGCAGCAGUAGGGAAUCUUCCGCAAUGGGCGAAAGCCUGACGGAGCAACGCCGCGUGAGUGAUGAAGGGCUUCGGAUCGUAAAACUCUGUUAUUAGGGAAGAACAAAUGUGUAAGUAACUAUGCACGUCUUGACGGUACCUAAGCAGAAAGCCACGGCUAACUACGU